AACGCACCUUGCGCCCUUUGGUAUUCCGAAGGGCACACCUGUUUGAGUGUCAUUAAUUUCUCAACCCUAUCAUUUUUUAAUCAAAUUGUUAGUGUUUGGAUGUUGAGUGUUGUUGGACUUUUAGUUCAACUCGCUUUAAAUUUAUGAGCAGGCUCUUACAAUUUCGGACUGACUCAAUGUGAUAAGAAAUUUCAUUGAGGAUGCCUUACGGCAGCCGAAUUGUUGGGAAAUGCCGCUACUAGUUGACCCUUAUAUUUUUAGACCUCAAAUCAGGUGGGACUACCCGCUGAACUUAA
RNAcentral lists this unclassified non-coding RNA (296 nucleotides) under uncultured Eocronartium. RNAcentral's name for it is "sequence contains ITS2". The stretch from base 1 to 52 matches the Rfam family "5.8S ribosomal RNA", at positions 103 to 154 of the family's 154-position model. The record is from RNAcentral. Lineage: Eukaryota; Fungi; Basidiomycota; Pucciniomycetes; Platygloeales; Eocronartiaceae.